GGUCUUGUAGUUUAUUUAAAAUAUAAAGUUGCAAACUUUAGGAAACAUACUAUAUUGUCGGGACUU
RNAcentral lists this transfer RNA (66 nucleotides) under Sthenoteuthis oualaniensis. RNAcentral's name for it is "tRNA-Cys". The record is from RNAcentral. Lineage: Eukaryota; Metazoa; Mollusca; Cephalopoda; Oegopsida; Ommastrephidae.